This is an RNA transcript of Rhodamnia argentea, 2085 nucleotides long. It is a transcript of the gene named ACT domain-containing protein ACR8-like, with no coding region annotated. The record is from RefSeq and is a predicted model, not a curated record. The transcript is spliced from 8 exons. NCBI's taxonomy places the organism in Eukaryota, Viridiplantae, Streptophyta, Magnoliopsida, Myrtales, Myrtaceae.
GGGACAGAGUUAAGUUAAGGACCGAGGCAUGCUUUGUGCGCUUUCAAACCAGAGGGAGAAAGAGAGAGAAGGGAGAGAGUGAGAGCGGAGGAGGCGGAUUGGUGAAGCGAAGCUUUGUUUUCAUGGCGAUUCGAUCCGAGGCGUGAGCACGGAUCGACCGGAGACGAAGCUGGGGGGCCCCUGGCAUUUGGCCUCGCUUGGUCGACUCGAUCGGAGCGUUUAGCCUUUGCGUUCAGGAUUUGCCUUUUCGUCGUCGAGUCUCUCGUCGUUUCUGCAGGUGAUCCGUUGGGAGGUUGCUUGUUGCGGAGGUCCUGCAGAGGCUAAGGCGAAGGCUCCUGUGGCUAGCUUUCUGUGCGAUGGAGUGGCCUGUCUUGGAUGAGUACGAGAAGCUCGUCUUUCGGAUGAAUACUCCGAGGGUCGUGAUCGAUAAUGGCGUUUGCGCCAGUGCCACUAUUGUUAAGGUUGAUAGUGCCAGGAAACAUGGAAUUCUAUUAGAGGCUGUUCAGGUCUUCACGGAUCUGAACCUUUCGAUCAAGAAGGCUUACAUUUCCUGUGAUGGGAGAUGGUUCAUGGAUGUUUUCCAUGUGACCGAUCAAAACGGAAACAAAUUAACCGACGAAAGCGAAAUUAGCUACAUAGAGCAGUCACUUGGCACCAUCUACCAUAGAAGGGCCAACGAUUACAGAGGACUGACAGCACUCGAGCUGACCGGAACUGACCGUGUUGGUCUGCUUUCGGAGGUUUUUGCGGUUCUCGCUGACUUGCAGUGUAAUGUUGUAGAAGCAAAGGUGUGGACUCACAAUGGAAGGAUAGCUUCGCUAAUUUACGUGAAAGACUGUAAUUCCGGUUCCCCCAUUGAGGACUCUCAGCACAUAGAUAGGAUUGAGGCAAGAUUAAAGCAUGUUCUGAAAGGAGAUAACGACAUUAGAAGCGCAAAAACGACGGUAUCAAUGGCAGUGACGCACACUGAGAGAAGAUUGCACCAAAUGAUGUUUGCAGACCGUGAUUAUGAGAGGAAGCCAAUCUUGCAGCUCAGUGCUGAUUCUCCAAUUGUAACUGUACAGAAUUGGACAGAAAGGGGUUACUCUGUAGUGAAUGUUCAGUGUAAAGAUAGGACUAAGCUUUUGUUUGAUGUCGUGUGCACCCUGACGGACAUGGAGUAUGUCGUCUUCCAUGCGACCGUGAACACUACAGGAGACGAGGCAUAUCUGGAAUUCUACAUUAGGCACAUGGAUGGAACCCCAAUUAGUUCCGAACCUGAAAGGCAGCGGGUAGUUCAAUGUCUGCAAGCGUCGGUCGAGAGAAGAGCCUCAGAGGGGGUCAGAUUAGAGUUAUGUGCAGCGGAUAGGGUGGGUCUCUUGGCCGAGGUGACGCGAACAUUCCGAGAAAACGGCCUCAACGUCACGAGGGCGGAAAUAUCCACGACGAUGGAUACGGUGCUCAACAUCUUCUACGUGACCGAUGCGCUGGGAAACCCCGCGGAUCCUAAGAUCAUAGAAGCAGUGAGGCACGGAAUCGGGUUUACCAAUUUGCAAGUCAAGGAACUGCCAUUACUACAUGACGAGAAGGCGGAGCAGGAAGAGGAAGCAGUUGGGGCAGCUGGGGCUGUUCUGUUAUCGCUUGGAAGCCUGGUGAGAAGGAAUCUGUACCAUUUAGGUUUGAUCAGGUCAUAUUCUUGAAGGGAGGAAACAGGGCAUAAAGGGCGAAUUUGGUGGGGGGGAGAGGAGUUUGUCAACUUUGAUUUGGGGGGAAGUUGGGAGUUGGGACAUAUACGGUGUAAAUAGGUGGGGAGGUGGAAUUUGGUGAUGUAGUAUAGUUAAGAGUUGGGUGGGUUGGUUUGAGUUGAUAGAGGCCCCACCCAUAUGUACAGUCGACCGGGACGGACAGCUCCACCAUUUUCAGGACACAAUGGCUUUUUUAAUUUGAAUUCCUCGAGGGUGGGGGACCUAAAAGGGUGGAGGGCUUGUCCCUUUGUAAAUAGCUUGUAAUUGCUGGCAGGAAGGGUUGUUAGAUGCCAGAAUUAUUCGGUACAGUCCAUAGUUUGUACAGUUGCCUACAACAGUUUAGUAUUAUUGGGUUGAUCUC